GUGAAUUUAAGCAUAUCACUAAGCGGAGGAAAAGAAACUAACAAGGAUUCCCCCUAGUAACGGCGAGUGAACAGGGAAAAGCCCAGCACCGAAGCCUGUGGCCAUUUGGUUACUAGGCAAUGUGGUGUUUAGGUCGUUCCGCGAAGGUACUGCUCCAUCCCAAGUCCAGCAAUGAGUACGGUAUUAUUUACCUGGCCCAAAGAGGGUGAAAGGCCCGUUGGGGUGGAGGCGCAGUAAUGCCAGUGCCUUCCUGGUUAGACCUUGGAGUCGGGUUGUUUGAGAAUGCAGCCCAAAGUGGGUGGUAAACUCCAUCCAAGGCUAAAUACUAACACGAGUCCGAUAGCGAACAAGUACCGUGAGGGAAAGUUGAAAAGUACUUUGAAGAGAGAGUAAACAGUACGUGAAACCGCUCAGAGGUAAACGGGUGGAGUUGAACUGUGAUCUCUGUGGAUUUAGCUGGUGAGAAUGGUUUGAGCUUGAUCAAGUUGGCCGUUAUCUGGGGUCUGCUUAGCCGCAGGUCUUCACUGUUGUGUGGAGAUGCACGAUGCACUGUUUGUGCUGUGUGCCUCGGAGAAACUCGGGCCGUCUCGCCAGUGCACUUCCUCAGAGUGUUCACCACGACCAGCAUUGCUGUCUGGCUGUUGUGGUUAAACCGGUCUGGCAAGUUCAUGUGGCUUCGCUUGGUCGGGAUGGCAGGUAGCUAGUUGGCUUGCCCGUAUUCGUUAUGGGUUUUGUCUUCUAGUGUUUUGCUGACCGCAACGGUUCAGUGCAGUAUGUUGGAGACGGCGGCUUGUGGUGUGUGCGUGCGUACCAGUUAGCUGGCGUUCUCGGGUUUGGUUAUUAUGUUGCUUGUGUUUGCAGGCCUUAUGAUAUCCCGGGUUCGUUCGGUUGGCGGUUGCGUGCGUGUCACUUAUCAGGGCCAAUAGUCUGUGGUGUUGCGGUAGACUUUCCACCUGACCCGUCUUGAAACACGGACCAAGGAGAGUAACAUGUGCGCGAGUCAUUGGGCGUAACGAAACCCAAAGGCGAAGUGAAAGUAAAGGUCUGGCUUGUCCGGACUGAGGUGAGAUCCUGUCGUUUCUUACACGUGGUAUUAUCAAGCACAGAGCGGCAGGCGCAUCACCGGCCCGUCCCAUGAUGUGUUGACACUUGUGUUUUCCAUCGGGGCGGAGCAUGAGCGUACAUGUUGAGACCCGAAAGAUGGUGAACUAUGCUUGCGCAGGUUGAAGCCAGAGGAAACUCUGGUGGAGGACCGCAGCGAUUCUGACGUGCAAAUCGAUCGUCAGACGUGAGUAUAGGGGCGAAAAGACUAAUCGAAACCAUCUAGUAGCUGGUUUCCCUCC
Molecule: ribosomal RNA, 1343 nt
Filed under: Galactosomum sp. DCHF 3848
Lineage: Eukaryota; Metazoa; Platyhelminthes; Trematoda; Opisthorchiida; Heterophyidae
Description: LSU rRNA
Rfam family: Eukaryotic large subunit ribosomal RNA
Source: RNAcentral